UACGGAGGAUGCGAGCGUUAUCCGGAUUUAUUGGGUUUAAAGGGUGCGUAGGCGGGAUGCCAAGUCAGCGGUAAAAAUGCGGUGCUCAACGCCGUCGAGCCGUUGAAACUGGCGUUCUUGAGUGGGCGAGAAGUAUGCGGAAUGCGUGGUGUAGCGGUGAAAUGCAUAGAUAUCACGCAGAACUCCGAUUGCGAAGGCAGCAUACCGGCGCCCUACUGACACUGAGGCUCGAAAGCGUGGGGAGCAAACAGG
RNAcentral lists this ribosomal RNA (252 nucleotides) under uncultured bacterium. RNAcentral's name for it is "partial 16S ribosomal RNA". It matches the Rfam family "Bacterial small subunit ribosomal RNA", at positions 524 to 776 of the family's 1533-position model. The record is from RNAcentral.